AGACGGGAGGCGGGGAGCUCGCGCCAUGCGGGCUGAGAGGAAGCGUAACGUCGCUUCGACCCGAAGAACCUGAUGUGGGUAAUGCCAACGAAGGGAGCCGAUAUGGCCGAUCGC
This 114-nucleotide non-coding RNA is filed under the name Slackia exigua ATCC 700122. RNAcentral describes it as "TPP riboswitch aptamer (THI element)". It matches the Rfam family "TPP riboswitch aptamer (THI element)". From Rfam's summary of the family: Vitamin B(1) in its active form thiamin pyrophosphate (TPP) is an essential coenzyme that is synthesised by coupling of pyrimidine and thiazole moieties in bacteria. The previously detected thiamin-regulatory element, thi box was extended, resulting in a new, highly conserved RNA secondary structure, the THI element, which is widely distributed in eubacteria and also occurs in some archaea. The record is from Rfam by way of RNAcentral. RNAcentral also lists the same sequence under 1 other name. Lineage: Bacteria; Bacillati; Actinomycetota; Coriobacteriia; Eggerthellales; Eggerthellaceae.